AACCUAAAGGCGUAAUGAAAGUAAAAAUUCACCUUUGUGGAGAAUUUAAGGGAAGAUGAGUGGUGUUUUAAUAAACUUGUAAAAGUUUUCCAUUUCGCAUUCCCGGGGCGUCUCAUUCUCAUUGCGAGACGAGGCGCACCAAGAGCGUACACGCUGGGACCCGAAAGAUGGUGAACUAUGCCUGGUCAGGACGAAGUCAG
RNAcentral lists this ribosomal RNA (200 nucleotides) under Chaetoptelius vestitus. RNAcentral's name for it is "partial large subunit ribosomal RNA". It matches the Rfam family "Eukaryotic large subunit ribosomal RNA", at positions 705 to 855 of the family's 3401-position model. The record is from RNAcentral. Lineage: Eukaryota; Metazoa; Arthropoda; Insecta; Coleoptera; Curculionidae.